Molecule: non-coding RNA, 74 nt
Organism: Xyrichtys novacula (pearly razorfish)
Lineage: Eukaryota; Metazoa; Chordata; Actinopteri; Labriformes; Labridae
Source: the annotation of a GenBank genome assembly
AAGUCCUGUCAGUCUUAGCCUGUAGCAGCAUGCAUUCUUAAAUGUGCUGCUACAGGCUAAGACUGCAAUGACUU